This 232-nucleotide long non-coding RNA is filed under the name Theobroma cacao (cacao). RNAcentral describes it as "long non-coding RNA (TCAC_LNC002939)". Lineage: Eukaryota; Viridiplantae; Streptophyta; Magnoliopsida; Malvales; Malvaceae. The record is from RNAcentral.
UGACCCAGUUUACAAUGAUUUACUUUAUUGUCUCCAUGUACUCAACUCUAGAUGUUUAUGAUGAUGUCUGUUUACUCAUUUAGAUUUUAUAAUCUCACCAUCCUCCUUGCCACCCAUUUCAGGCUCAGUAUAAGCUGUAGAUAGCUGAUAUCGUAGAAGGCUACAGUUGGCUUUACUUCCUUAAAAACUGUAGGUUUGCAGCCUUCGUUCAUUUUUGUCAUUUGGGGGUCCA